This 253-nucleotide ribosomal RNA is filed under the name uncultured bacterium. RNAcentral's name for it is "partial 16S ribosomal RNA". It matches the Rfam family "Bacterial small subunit ribosomal RNA", at positions 524 to 776 of the family's 1533-position model. The record is from RNAcentral.
AACGUAGGAGACGAACGUUAUCCGGAGUUACUGGGCGUAAAGGGCGUGCAGGCGGCUUGAUAAGUUCGGCGUGAAAUUUCCCGGCUUAACCGGGGGAUGUCGUCGGAGGCUGUCGAGCUAGAGGGUGAUAGAGGCGUGUGGAAUUCCGGGUGUAGUGGUGAAAUGCGUAGAGAUCUGGAGGAACACCAGUGGCGAAGGCGACACGCUGGGUCAUACCUGACGCUAAAACGCGACAGCAUGGGGAGCGAACGGG